AGAUGCGAUCAUACCAGCACUAAUGCACCGGAUCCCAUCAGAACUCCGCAGUUAAGCGUGCUUGGGCGAGAGUAGUACUAGGAUGGGUGACCUCGAAGAAUGUCCUCGUGUUGCAUCCC
This is a ribosomal RNA of Arabidopsis thaliana (thale cress), 119 nucleotides long. Lineage: Eukaryota; Viridiplantae; Streptophyta; Magnoliopsida; Brassicales; Brassicaceae. The record is from Rfam.